UUGUCUCAAAAAAAAACAUGACAAAGGAAGAAAUAAUAUAAGUUUCAUAAUAUAUUGUAGCCUAGGGUGUGCAUCAGUUCGUUUGGUCCGGUUUUAUGUAUUAUUGGUUCGGUUUAUCGAUUUUUGGUUUUUAAAUACAUUAAAUCAAUAAGAUAUUUUUUAUCGGUUUUGGUCCUUAACGGUUAGAUUUUCGAUUUAAUCAGUAAGAAAAUACUUAUAAAAAAAUAUGACUUUUCGAAUAAAUUUGAUGCGACAACACAAUAAUGUAACUUUACAAAUGCUCAUAAAAUAGAAACAAUAAUAACAAACAUGAAAAAGAAAA
This 322-nucleotide long non-coding RNA is filed under the name Solanum tuberosum (potato). RNAcentral describes it as "long non-coding RNA (STUB_LNC005524)". Lineage: Eukaryota; Viridiplantae; Streptophyta; Magnoliopsida; Solanales; Solanaceae. The record is from RNAcentral.